Molecule: transfer RNA, 63 nt
Filed under: Eysarcoris montivagus
Lineage: Eukaryota; Metazoa; Arthropoda; Insecta; Hemiptera; Pentatomidae
Description: tRNA-Trp
Source: RNAcentral
AAAGCUUUAAGUUAAAAAAACUAUUAACCUUCAAAGUUAAAAAUAUAUUCAAUAUAAGCUUUA